RNAcentral lists this long non-coding RNA (243 nucleotides) under Medicago truncatula (barrel medic). RNAcentral describes it as "lncRNA gene19551". The record is from RNAcentral. Lineage: Eukaryota; Viridiplantae; Streptophyta; Magnoliopsida; Fabales; Fabaceae.
GGUGGGGCCAGUAGGCUAUUACUUUCAUUGGCAUGGUCAGAUGGUGGGGGCCACUAGGCUGUCACACUUACCAAUACCAAUGAUGUAAAUAAGUUCAAUUUUUAUUUAUUUAAAUUCGUGGUUAUCUGUGAUGGUACAUUUGGUACCCCACAUUUGACGUAUUCAUAUGCGAAUUUACGUGAACCGGUUCUCAAAAGUACCGCGAACCGGUUCAUACGAACCGGUUUGCGGUUCGCUACAGUG